CCUACGGGUGGCAGCAGUGAGGAAUAUUGGUCAAUGGUCGGGAGACUGAACCAGCCAAGCCGCGUGAGGGAUGAAGGUACAGAGUAUCGUAAACCUCUUUUGUCAGGGAACAAAGGCGGGGACGUGUCCCCGGAUGAGUGUACCUGAAGAAAAAGCAUCGGCAAACUCCGUGCCAGCAGCCGCGGUAAUACGGAGGAUGCGAGCGUUAUCCGGAUUUAUUGGGUUUAAAGGGUGCGCAGGCGGUAUGUUAAGUCAGCGGUAAAAGCCCGGGGCUCAACCCCGGCCCGCCGUUGAAACUGGUAGUCUCGAGUUGGAGAGAAGUAUGCGGAAUGCGCGGUGUAGCGGUGAAAUGCAUAGAUAUCGCGCAGAACUCCGAUUGCGAAGGCAGCAUGCCGGCUCCACACUGACGCUGAGGCACGAAAGCGUGGGUAUCGAACAGGAUUAGAUACCCCUGUAGUC
RNAcentral lists this ribosomal RNA (459 nucleotides) under uncultured bacterium. RNAcentral's name for it is "partial 16S ribosomal RNA". It matches the Rfam family "Bacterial small subunit ribosomal RNA", at positions 338 to 795 of the family's 1533-position model. The record is from RNAcentral.